UACGUAGGACGCAAGCGUUAUCCGGAGUUACUGGGCGUAAAGCGCGCGCAGGCGGCUGUCUAAGUCUGAUGUGAAAGCGCCCGGCUUAACCGGGCGAGGCCAUUGGAAACUGGAGAGCUGGAGGGCAGUAGAGGCAGGCGGAAUUCCGGGUGGAGUGGUGAAAUGCGUAGAGAUCCGGAGGAACACCAGAGGCGAAGGCGGGUCUCUGGGCAGUAACUGACGCUGAGGAGCGAAAGCGUGGGGAGCAAACAGG
This 253-nucleotide ribosomal RNA is filed under the name uncultured bacterium. RNAcentral describes it as "partial 16S ribosomal RNA". It matches the Rfam family "Bacterial small subunit ribosomal RNA", at positions 524 to 776 of the family's 1533-position model. The record is from RNAcentral.